AGAGUUUGAUCAUGGCUCAGAAUGAACGCUGGCGGCGCGCCUAAUACAUGCAAGUCGAGCGAGAAGACGUAGCAAUACGUUUGUAAAGCGGCGAACGGGUGAGGAAUACAUGGGUAACCUACCCUCGAGUGGGGAAUAACUAGCCGAAAGGUUAGCUAAUACCGCGUACGCUCCUUGGACUUCGGUUCAGGGAGGAAAGCGAUACCGUGGGUAUCGCGCUCUUGGUUGGGCUCAUGUCCUAUCAGCUUGUUGGUGAGGUAACGGCUCACCAAGGCUUCGACGGGUAGCUGGUCUGAGAGGACGAUCAGCCACACUGGCACUGCGACACGGGCCAGACUCCUACGGGAGGCAGCAGUAAGGAAUAUUGCGCAAUGGGCGAAAGCCUGACGCAGCGACGCCGCGUGGGGGAUGAAGGUCUUCGGAUUGUAAACCCCUUUCGGGAGGGAAGAUGGAAUGGGGUAACCCAUUCGGACGGUACCUCCAGAAGCAGCCACGGCUAACUUCGUGCCAGCAGCCGCGGUAAUACGAAGGUGGCAAGCGUUAUUCGGAUUUACUGGGCGUACAGGGAGCGUAGGCGGUUCGGUAAGCCCUCUGUGAAAUCUUCAGGCUUAACCUGGAAAAGUCGGAGGGGACUGCCGGGCUAGAGGACGGGAGAGGAGCGCGGAAUUCCCGGUGUAGCGGUGAAAUGCGUAGAGAUCGGGAGGAAGGCCGGUGGCGAAGGCGGCGCUCUGGAACGUUUCUGACGCUGAGGCUCGAAAGCGUGGGGAGCAAACAGGAUUAGAUACCCUUGUAGUCC
This 796-nucleotide ribosomal RNA is filed under the name uncultured bacterium. RNAcentral's name for it is "bacterial SSU rRNA". It matches the Rfam family "Bacterial small subunit ribosomal RNA", at positions 8 to 796 of the family's 1533-position model. The record is from RNAcentral.